RNAcentral lists this ribosomal RNA (497 nucleotides) under uncultured bacterium. Its description in RNAcentral is "partial 16S ribosomal RNA". It matches the Rfam family "Bacterial small subunit ribosomal RNA", at positions 28 to 507 of the family's 1533-position model. The record is from RNAcentral.
GAUGAACGCUGGCGGCGUGCCUAAUACAUGCAAGUCGAGCGAACAGACGAGGAGCUUGCUCCUCUGACGUUAGCGGCGGACGGGUGAGUAACACGUGGAUAACCUACCUAUAAGACUGGGAUAACUUCGGGAAACCGGAGCUAAUACCGGAUAAUAUAUUGAACCGCAUGGUUCAAUAGUGAAAGACGGUUUUGCUGUCACUUAUAGAUGGAUCCGCGCCGCAUUAGCUAGUUGGUAAGGUAAAGGCUUACCAAGGCAACGAUGCGUAGCCGACCUGAGAGAGUGAUCGGCCACACUGGAACUGAGACACGGUCCAGACACCGACGGGAGGCAGCAGUAGGGAAUCUUCCGCAAUGGACGAAAGCCUGACGGAGCAACGCCGCGUGAGUGAUGAAGGUCUUCGGAUCGUAAAACUCUGUUAUUAGGGAAGAACAAAUGUGUAAGUAACUAUGCACGUCUUGACGGUACCUAAUCAGAAAGCCACGGCUAACUACGUG